UGGACAAUGGGCGAAAGCCUGAUCCAGCAAUGCCGCGUGAGUGAUGAAGGCCUUAGGGUUGUAAAGCUCUUUUACCCGGGAUGAUAAUGACAGUACCGGGAGAAUAAGCCCCGGCUAACUCCGUGCCAGCAGCCGCGGUAAUACGGAGGGGGCUAGCGUUGUUCGGAAUUACUGGGCGUAAAGCGCACGUAGGCGGCUUUGUAAGUUAGAGGUGAAAGCCCGGAGCUCAACUCCGGAACUGCCUUUAAGACUGCAUCGCUAGAACGUCGGAGAGGUGAGUGGAAUUCCGA
RNAcentral lists this ribosomal RNA (290 nucleotides) under uncultured Rhodospirillaceae bacterium. RNAcentral describes it as "partial 16S ribosomal RNA". It matches the Rfam family "Bacterial small subunit ribosomal RNA", at positions 365 to 672 of the family's 1533-position model. The record is from RNAcentral. Lineage: Bacteria; Pseudomonadati; Pseudomonadota; Alphaproteobacteria; Rhodospirillales; Rhodospirillaceae.